This is a small nucleolar RNA of Tachyglossus aculeatus (Australian echidna), 138 nucleotides long. The record is from RefSeq and is a predicted model, not a curated record. NCBI's taxonomy places the organism in Eukaryota, Metazoa, Chordata, Mammalia, Monotremata, Tachyglossidae.
ACCCUCUCAGGGUUGCACCUGUAGAGUUCCCAGUACUCUACCAGUCUCAACUACAGGAGGGAGAGUCAAGUAGAGGCCUACCUAUUCCAUUUCUAGUUUGGGCAGUGGCUAGUGUGUGGAAGACAGUCUGCCGCAGGU